RNAcentral lists this ribosomal RNA (868 nucleotides) under uncultured bacterium. RNAcentral's name for it is "bacterial SSU rRNA". It matches the Rfam family "Bacterial small subunit ribosomal RNA", at positions 58 to 916 of the family's 1533-position model. The record is from RNAcentral.
CAAGUCGAACGGCAGCACGGGAGCUUGCUCCUGGUGGCGAGUGGCGAACGGGUGAGUAAUAUAUCGGAACGUAUCCAAUAAUGGGGGAUAACUAGUCGAAAGAUUAGCUAAUACCGCAUACGCCCUGAGGGGGAAAGCUGGGGAUCUUCGGACCUAGCGUUAAUGGAGCGGCCGAUAUCUGAUUAGCUAGUAGGUGAGGUAAGAGCUCACCUAGGCGACGAUCAGUAGCUGGUCUGAGAGGACGACCAGCCACACUGGAACUGAGACACGGUCCAGACUCCUACGGGAGGCAGCAGUGGGGAAUUUUGGACAAUGGGCGCAAGCCUGAUCCAGCCAUUCCGCGUGAGUGAAGAAGGCCUUCGGGUUGUAAAGCUCUUUCGCAAGGGAAGAAAACUUAACCUCUAACAUAGGUUGAGGCUGACGGUACCUUGAUAAGAAGCACCGGCUAACUACGUGCCAGCAGCCGCGGUAAUACGUAGGGUGCGAGCGUUAAUCGGAAUUACUGGGCGUAAAGCGUGCGCAGGCGGCCUGAUAAGUCAGAUGUGAAAUCCCCGAGCUCAACUUGGGAACUGCGUUUGAAACUAUCAAGCUAGAAUAUGUCAGAGGGGGGUAGAAUUCCACGUGUAGCAGUGAAAUGCGUAGAGAUGUGGAGGAAUACCAAUGGCGAAGGCAGCCCCCUGGGAUAAUAUUGACGCUCAUGCACGAAAGCGUGGGGAGCAUACAGGAUUAGAUACCCCUGGGUAGUCCACGCCCUAAACGAUGUCUACUAGUUGUUGGUGGAGCAAAAUCCAUGAGUAACGCAGCUAACGCGUGAAGUAGACCGCCUGGUGGAGUACGGCCGCAUGAUUAAAACUCCAGGAAUUGACGG